RNAcentral lists this non-coding RNA (109 nucleotides) under Sphingobium sp. RNAcentral describes it as "TPP sequence". It matches the Rfam family "TPP riboswitch aptamer (THI element)". Rfam says of the family: Vitamin B(1) in its active form thiamin pyrophosphate (TPP) is an essential coenzyme that is synthesised by coupling of pyrimidine and thiazole moieties in bacteria. The previously detected thiamin-regulatory element, thi box was extended, resulting in a new, highly conserved RNA secondary structure, the THI element, which is widely distributed in eubacteria and also occurs in some archaea. The record is from RNAcentral. Lineage: Bacteria; Pseudomonadati; Pseudomonadota; Alphaproteobacteria; Sphingomonadales; Sphingobiaceae.
CCGCAUUCCCCGGGGAGCCUGCUUGGGCUGAGAGGGAUGGGUAGCGCCAUCCGACCCGUCGAACCUGAACCGGCUCAUACCGGCGGAGGGAGAGGACCGGGCACCGACA